CAGCAGCCGCGGUAAUACGAAGGGUGCAAGCCUUACUCGGAAUUACUGGGCGUAAAGCGUGCGUAGGUGGUGGUUUAAGUCCGUUGUGAAAGCCCUGGGCUCAACCUGGGAAUUGCAGUGGAUACUGGAUCACUAGAGUGUGGUAGAGGAUAGUGGAAUUUCCGGUGUAGCAGUGAAAUGCGUAGAGAUCGUAAGGAACAUCUGUGGCGAAGGCGACUAUCUGGGCCAACACUGACACUGAGGCACGAAAGCGUGGGGAGCAAACAGGAUUAGAUACCCGUGUAGUCCCUGUCUCUUAUAC
This 301-nucleotide ribosomal RNA is filed under the name uncultured bacterium. RNAcentral describes it as "partial 16S ribosomal RNA". It matches the Rfam family "Bacterial small subunit ribosomal RNA", at positions 509 to 807 of the family's 1533-position model. The record is from RNAcentral.